GAUGAACGCUGGCGGCGUGCUUAACACAUGCAAGUCGAACGAUGAAGCCCAGCUUGCUGGGUGGAUUAGUGGCGAACGGGUGAGUAACACGUGAGUAACCUGCCCUUAACUCUGGGAUAAGCCUGGGAAACUGGGUCUAAUACCGGAUAGGAGCGUCCACCGCAUGGUGGGUGUUGGAAAGAUUUAUCGGUUUUGGAUGGACUCGCGGCCUAUCAGCUUGUUGGUGAGGUAAUGGCUCACCAAGGCGACGACGGGUAGCCGGCCUGAGAGGGUGACCGGCCACACUGGGACUGAGACACGGCCCAGACUCCUACGGGAGGCAGCAGUGGGGAAUAUUGCACAAUGGGCGCAAUCCUGAUGCAGCGACGCCGCGUGAGGGAUGACGGCCUUCGGGUUGUAAACCUCUUUCAGUAGGGAAGAAGCGAAAGUGACGGUACCUGCAGAAGAAGCACCGGCUAACUACGUG
RNAcentral lists this ribosomal RNA (466 nucleotides) under uncultured bacterium. Its description in RNAcentral is "partial 16S ribosomal RNA". It matches the Rfam family "Bacterial small subunit ribosomal RNA", at positions 28 to 507 of the family's 1533-position model. The record is from RNAcentral.